CCAGAGUUGAAACUACUGAAAACAGAGAGCACUAAAUAUCUUUAAUCAAUACAGGACAUCAAAGCCCUGAACUGUUCACAUUGGAGAGAACAGCAGGAUAAAAAAACGGAGAUUUCUUUCUUCCACUGAAAGCGCAUUGGAGAGGUGAGAAGUGGAUAAAAAUACAUGUUAUUUCUUGGUCGGCUGGAAGGUGGUUUUGCAGUUUAUAACUGCAGGUUGACAAGCAAACUUUGGAUUCCCCUGAAAUCCUCUGAAUUCAUCCCUAAUGUCUGCAGAAUGAAUCCAGAUUUCCAAAGCCGGCAUGGAAGGGACAGUCCUUGCCCCUUGGGCCAUUGCCCUGCUGAUCUUUGGUGCUGUGCUGAUAAUGACCUCACUGAUGAUCCUCCCUCCUGUCACUCUCCUCAUCUGGAGAAUCCACCAGAUGCCAGAGAUCUCGCUGGUAGGGGCCAUAUAAGUCCAGGCCCCUUCCAGACCUCUGCUGACUCCCAGAUUGUUCUGUCUUAGAUGGCGUUACCCAGACCAAAAAGUCUUGGGCCAUUUAUGAAAUUCACAUAGCCCUUACCUCCCUGUCACAAGCUUUCAGUGGUCUUCCGUAUCAGACAACUGCUUCCCUUUGUAGAAUCACGGAAUGCAAAAGCUUGAAGCAACCAAACUCUCCAUGGUACAUAUGAAAAAAAAAAUUGAAGGGGAAGGGACUGGCCCAAAGCCACACAGAUAGUAAAUGGCAGAGCCAAGAGUCAAACCUAGGUCUAACCAUAGGUCAGAGCAUUAGCUCUUUCCCCUUUUUUUGAACGUGUCCAAUUGAGAUCAUAUUUCAAUGUGUCCUUCUAGGACCUGGUGAAUUGGCCUCCUAUUACUACAUAAAAUGCCCUGACUACACACAGCAGAUAGGGAGCCAAAUGGACAAAAACUUCAUCUUUGUUCUUUCACCCUCAAAGUGGCUCUCUGGAACCUCUGUUGAUAUAGUAACAAUGCAGAAUUACAGAUAACAAUAGCUUAAAGGACUUUAGAGAUAAACUAGGUUAACCCUCUCAUUUUACAGCAAAGGAAGCAGAAGUUUCCCAGAGAGAUUAUGUGAUUGGCCCAUGGUCACAGAAAGUAAAGAGGACAGCUGAGAUGUGAAGUCUAACUCCAAGUAUAACACACUACCUUGUUAGAACCAGCACAAUAUCAAUGCCAUUUUCUUAAGACACUCUUGCUCUGACUUAUAUACAUGAAGCAACGAGUUGGUUGCCAUUCAAUUGAUCAACCAGCAAGCAUUUAUUAAGCACUUACUAUGUGCCAGACACUGUUCCAGGUGUUAGGGAUACAAAUAUAAAAGUAAAAUAGCCCUUACCCUUGAGAAGCUUACAUUCUAGCUAAGAGAAACAAUAUAGGUAGGUAGGACGAUAGAAUAGGAUAGAUGGAGAGAGAGAGAGAGAGAGAGAGAGAGAGAGAAUUUAUGAAAUAUAUACAAAAUGGUACAAGAUAAUUUAGAGGGGUAACACACUAGCAGUUAAGAAUUCAGCUUCAUGUAGAAUGGAGGUAUUAAACCCACAGGCCACAUGCAUCCCAUGAUAUUCUUUACUGCUGCCUGAAAAAAGAUUAAAAUGUAAUUGGAAAUUAUUAAAAAAAAUAAAAUAUAAAAUUACAUUUUAAAACUAAGUCA
Molecule: long non-coding RNA, 1648 nt
Organism: Phascolarctos cinereus (koala)
Lineage: Eukaryota; Metazoa; Chordata; Mammalia; Diprotodontia; Phascolarctidae
Source: Ensembl